AGUAAACAAAUGAUAACGCGUCUGUGUCUGCUAUAAAAACCAUGCUCCCAUGUUCCUCCUCAAGAGAUUUCCUGAGUUUCCCUUUGGUUCACACCUUCAACAUGCUGACGCUAAAGCUAAGCGGGAUCCUUUUGCUGCUGAUCCUGUGCCAACAUGGUAUAGAUGCAUCCGUGAUCUGUGAACAUAGAUUUGGGA
Megalobrama amblycephala (Wuchang bream) is the source of this 195-nucleotide long non-coding RNA. RefSeq lists it as uncharacterized. NCBI's taxonomy places the organism in Eukaryota, Metazoa, Chordata, Actinopteri, Cypriniformes, Xenocyprididae. The transcript has 3 exons. The record is from RefSeq and is a predicted model, not a curated record.